Long non-coding RNA from Prunus dulcis (almond), 10169 nucleotides. RefSeq lists it as uncharacterized. Lineage: Eukaryota; Viridiplantae; Streptophyta; Magnoliopsida; Rosales; Rosaceae. The record is from RefSeq and is a predicted model, not a curated record. The transcript is spliced from 4 exons.
AUGAAAGGGCGAUGGCGAUCGGGUUUCGUUUUGUGUAGAUUAUCGGAUUUUGUUGAUUCGCUUCUUCUGUUUGGGUUUGAUUCUAUGAUUAGAUAUGGAUGGAUGGGUUUGAUUCUAUGAUUUAUAUAUGGAUGGAUUAAGUUUUGUUUAUCGCUAUGCUGUAGGGUUUGGUGAUGGAUUUUGCUACCGAUUAAAAGUGGAAUCUAAUGACCGUUGAAGGUAGGUUGUGUAUAUUUGCAGGCUUGUUUUAUUGGUUCAGAUGAGACCCAAACAAGAUUGGCCUGAUGGUGAAGUAGGUGUUUGGUAUGAAACUGCUUUGAAUUCGAUUUGGAUCUUCUAGUUGUUUUGUAUAGAUAGAAUUUGUUGAUUUGAGGCCGAAGUUCAUCUUUAUUGAUAUGCUUAUGUGUUUUGAUUGGCCUGAUGGUGAUGACUGCCAGGGCAUCUAGUUCUGCUUGCGAUUUGAUUUGGACGGAAAACCGCAUGAUUUUGUUCUGAAGUUUAGAAUAUAAUGAUUUGGAAAUUUCCCUCGUUUUUUAUCAAUCAAAUAAGCGGAGCUUUGUUGUUAUUUUUCAGGCCUCGUUUGCGGUGUUUGACACACGAGGGUUAGAUGUUAUCAUGUUAUGGUUAGCUGAUAACUCCAUAGGUUCUUAUGGGAUCUGAUUGUAUGGCUAUGAGGUUGGAUUUUAUACUGAUUUGCGGAUGCAAUGGAAUGUUGAAUGUCAAAAUUUUCCUUCUGGAUCUAUUGAUUUGCAGGAGAUAGUAAUCGUGUUGCAGAUUUGAGCUUAUGUCUGCACCUUUUCAGUCUUUGGAUAGAGUCCAUUUGUAAAGGUUUUCAUUGGUUUGCUGCAUAUGGAUUAUUGUUUUUGGUUACAUGCUUAUUCUUUUACAGUUUGUCAAAAUGCGCGUCUUUAUAUAUCUUUCAAGUCCCUGAAAUUUGUAAGUAAUACCAUGUUUAUGUCCUCCUUUUCCCUAUGAUCAUGCCGAACUUUCUGCUCUUAUAUUGACAUACUAAAUCCAGAAUUCGUGUUAACCGUCUUAGUUCGUAGCCUUUCAUUUCGAUGUGUUUCUUGUUUUUGGGGUAUGUUCGAAACGGGUUUUUAUGUCCUCAAUUUUGGCUUUCUAUUGAUUUUCUCUGUUGGAAUGAAAGGGUCUAUUUUAAUUUCUUCUUGUCUGAAAUAUAUAGUAAUUGUUUUUUCAAAGAUAUAAAAUUAUUCAAUGUAUUUGAUCAAUAAAUUUUGCUUUAUGGUCUUUAAGCUAUUAAUAAUUACAACCAAAAGUGGUUUGGCGCUUACCUUUUAGCGUUAUGUUUUUUAAAAGUUUGUUCAUUUCUAUGGUUGUCAUUGCAUAUAGUUGGACUUCGCAUUUGUAUAGCAGUGUGGUUAGGUUUUGUCUUGAUGAUUCACUACUUUUGUGAUUAAAGUGCUUAUGGAGACUAAGUUGGAUGGAGCCAAAAGUUUAUGACACUUAUGGGGAGCUGUUCUGGUUUGGUUAACAUGUUAAAUCUUUUUCUUUUAAUAUUUUAAUUUUUUUUUAUACAAGUUCCUCUCUCUCUCUCUCUCUCUCUCUCUCACUCACCCCAAAAUUAAUAUUAGGUACUAUGUAUUUUUCAGGUUUCUUCCGUUGGUUUCAAAUUGGCAUACUACCUAAGAGGGGGUUUAAUGCUGUUGCCUUUCGUUUCCCAGUUAAAUUUUUUAUUAAAUUUGGUGUUUAUAUUUUAGCAAUAUCUUAUGUAGAUGUAACCUAAUUUUUGUCUUAGGGACAAAGUUUCACCACGGGGUAACGGUUUGAGAGCUCAAAGCCGCUUGUUUUGUUUGUUCCCCUUCGUUGGUUUCUUAUUUUUGUUACUUGUUCAAUAUCGUGAAUUAUGUGAUCUGUCUUUACGUUGGUGUCUUGCUUUAGUCCAAAUUAUGUAGUGAUUAUCAGUAUUUGAGCAGUUCCUGGGGUUACCUUGUUUGCUGAUUUUUUUGCAGGAAGUUGGUUUUAACGCCACAGUUAAUGAAGGAAUUGGAAUUAGGUUAUUGGGAGAACAUGUUAAAUCCUUUGUCUCUCAAGUUUUUUAAACUUUUAUAUACGUCUUUCUCUCUUUUAUGUCAAUUUCACUCCUUAUGAAAUUAAUAUUAUGUAUUAUGUAUUUUUCAGGUUUCUUAUGUUGGGUUUGAAUUGACUUUCUAGCUAAGAGGGGGCUUAAUGUUGCCUUUUUUUUCCCAUUCCAGAAAUUUAUUACAUGUGGUGCUGUUUUUUUAGCAGUAUCUUAUGUAGAUGCACCUUAAUUCUUGUCUUAGGGACAAAGUGGGGGCACGGGUUUGAGAGAUCAAGGCCACUGGUUUUUUUUUGUGUUCACCUUCCUUGGAUUCGUAUUUUCGUUACUUGUUCAAUAUCUUGAAUUCUGUGGUCUGUCUUUCCAUUGAUGUCUUGCUUUAGUCCACAUUAUGUAGUGAUUAUCAGGAUUUUGAGCAGUUACUGCACUUGCCUUGUUUGGUGACGGUUUUAUUUCUCUUAUUUCUUUUUAAACUUUUAUACAAGUCUCUCUCUCUCUCUCUCUCUCUCUCUCUCUCUCUCUCUCUCUCUCUCUAAAUAUCUCUGUAUUUCACCCCUAAAUUGGUCAGGUAUUAUGUUUUUCAGGUUUCUUCUGUUGGGUUUGAAUUGACUUACUACAAUAAAGGGGGUUUAAUGAUGUUGCUUUUUUGUUUCCCAUUUCAAUUUUUAUUUUUAUACAUUUGGUGUUAUUAUUAUAGCAAAUAUCUUAUGUAGUUGCACCCUAAUUCUUGUCUUAGGGACAGAGUUUCAUCGGGGCGCACCAGUUUGAGAACUCAAGGCUGCUGGUUUUGUUUGUUCACUUUCCUUGGUUUCUUAUUUUUGAUACGUGUUCAAUAUUGUGAAUUUUGUGGUCUCUUUUCCGUCGAUGUCUUGCUUUAGUCCACAUUACGUAGUGAUUGCAGUUGCAUUGUUUGGUGAUUUGUUUUGUAGGAGUUUGGUUUUAGAUGUUUACGCCUCAGUUAAAUGGAAGUGGAAAUAGGUUUAUUGGGAGAAUAUGUUUGCGUUUUGUUUUUUGAUGAAAUUGUUUAAUUCUCGACUUGGUCAAUGUCCUAAAUUAUUGGGAGAACAUCUUAAAUAUUUUAUCGUUUAAUUUUUUAAAGAUAUAUAUAUAUAUAUAUCUCUCUCUCUCUCACUCUCUCUCUCUCUUCCCCCUAAAUUAAUAUUAGGUAUUAUGUAUUUUUCAGGGUUCUUCUGUUGGGUUUGAACUUACUACCUUAGAGGGGGUUUAAUGUUGUUGCCUUUUGUUUCCCAUUUCAAAAAUUUAUUACAUUUGGUGCUGUUCUUUUAUCAAUAUCUUAUGUAGAUGCACCCUAAUUCUUGUCUUAGGGACAAAGUUUCACCUGGGGGCACCGGUUUGAGAGCUCAAAGCCGCUGGUUUUGUUUGUUCACCUUGUUUCUUAUUUUUGUUACUUGCUCAAUACCGUUUUGUUUGUUCACCUUGUUUCUUAUUUUUGUUACUUGCACAAUAUUGUUUCUGUGGUUUUUCCGUUGGUGUCUUGUGCUGACUUGCAUAAUGCAGAGACUUGUUUUAGUCCGCAUUAUGCAAGUCUAUAAGGAUUUUGAUCAGUCCUACACUUACCUUGUUUGGUGAAUUUUUGCAUGAAUUUGAUUUUGAAGGUUUAUGCUGCAGUUAAAUGGAAGAGGAAAUAGGUUAUUUGGGGAAUGUGUCGUCGUUUUGUUUUUGGUGAAAUUGUUUUAUUCUCUGCUCGUUUGAUGUCCUAUAUUAUUGGGAGAACAUGUUAAAUAUUUGUCUUUUAUUGUUUUAUUUUUUAUAUAUAUUAAGUGUAUAUCUCUCCCUCUAACACUUAAUUAAUAUUAGGUAUUAUGUAUUUUCAGGCUUCUUCUGUUGGGUUUGAAUUGACAUGCUACCUAAGAAGGGGUUUAUUGUUGUUGCCUUUUGUUUUACAUUUCAAAAAUUGAUUACAUUCAGUGCCUGUUAUUUUAGCUAUAUCUUAUGUAGAUGCACCCUAAUUCUUGUCUUAGGGACAAAGUUUCAACUUGGUGCAUGGGUUUGAGUGGAGUUCAAGGCUGCUGGUUUUUAUUCACCCUUCUUGGUAUAUGAGGGGAUAUGUUCAAAAUCACCAUCAAUCUUAUUAAUCUUUUUUUUCUUUGUUCGAAGAUAUAAUAUUAUGAUGUUUUUUAUUACAGAUGCUGAAUGUGUCUUUACUUCCUUCUGUGCUGCCAUGUAUUUGUUCGAUGUAUGUUGCUUUAUGGUCAUUCCAUAUAUUUGAUCUCCCAAAUUGUAUAGCGGUCUGGUUUGACAUUCUCUUGAUGAUGAUUCCCUAUUUUCGUGAUUUGAUGCGUAUGGAGAAUUGGUUGCAUUUAAAGUUUAUGACUCUGUUGUGGGGAGCAGAUUCUGGUUUGGUUUCUUAACAAGAACAUGUUAACUUCCUACUUUUAAAUUCUCUCUUCUCUCUCUCUCUCUCUCUCUCUCUGAAUGGGGUACUUUGUAUUUUUCAGGUUUCUUCUGUGGGGUUUUAAUUGACAUACCAUUUAAGAGGGGGUUUAAUUCUUGUUUCCUUCUGUUUAAUUUCUCAUCUUAAGGAUUUAUAAGAUUUGGUGCUGUUAUUUAGCAAUAUCUGAAGUAGAUGCAUACUAAUUCUUGUCUUAGGGACAAAGUUUUCCUUGGGGCAUGGCAAUGAAUGGAGCUCAUGGGUGCUGGUUUUGUUUAUUCACCCUUCUUGCUUUCUUGUUUCUUUUACAUGUUCAAUAUCGGUGAAUUAUGUGGUUGUCUUUCCUUUGAUGUCUUAUGCAGAUGAAUCUCUUGCUUUUAGUCUGUCUUCAUGGAGCUGAGUAUCAGGAUUUUGAGGAGCUUCUGCAGUUGCCUUAUUGACCCUGUUUGCUUUCUUAUUUCUGUUACAUGUUUAAUAUCGUGAAUUCCGUGGUUGUCUUUCCUUUCGUGUCUUAUGCAGUGCAUCUAUUGCUUUAGUCCAGAGUAUCAGGAUUUUGAGGAGCUUCUGUAGUAGUUCUAUUUGGUGAUCUUUUGCAGGAAUUUGUUUUUAAAGGUUUACGUUGCAGUUCGUUCUUGGCUUGUAAUUUAAUUUCUUAUUUCUUUGAUGUCUGGAACCAUUUGUUUAUGCAGAUUGCAAAUCUUGUCUGUCUAUGCAAUCUCACUCUCCGUUGAAUAAAAAUGGGUUGCCUAAUGUCUGUAUAAUGUGGGGCACAUUGUCUGAGCUAUAUUUCUGCCUGCAGGCGUAUCCUAACUCGUGUCUAUAUAUGGAGGUCUCACUUUCUCGAACGAGUUUUAAGAAGGGGUUUGAGUAGUUUUUGGCUUAUGAUUUUGUUUCUUAUUUCUUGGUGUUCAUGAGGUAUGGAACCAUUAUUUGAGCACUUUUAUGCAGAUGCAUCCCAAUGCUUGUCGGUUGCUGGAGUCUCACACUGUUGAAAGAAAAAAAGGGUUUUUUGAGUUAUUAUCUGAUUUUAUAUUAUUGGAGCCCGUAUGACAUCCUGAGACAUUAUUUGCACAAUGUCUUUUAAGAAAGGUUUGGGUGGUUCUGAGUUAUUAUCUGAUUUUAUAUUCUUGGAGCCAGUAUGUCAUCCUGAGACAUUUUUUGCGCAAUGUCUUUAUAUGCAGACCAUUACACUUGUCUUCUUGUGGGGUCUGAUUCCUUGAAGUAGAACGAGCUGCUUUUAAGAAAGGGUGGUUUGAGUGGUUCUCUGCUUAUGCUUUAACUUCUUACGUGAGCCAUUAUUUGAGUAAUGUUUUCUUUUAGAGUUUGAUGCAUCUUGUGUAUUGGUCAAGAGUUUAUAAGAUCUGGUAUGAAGUCUAUGCAGAUGCAAUUUAACUCGCAUGUGUAUGAAGUCUUCGUUUAAGGAGAGCAGGGGGUCUUUUAUCUAAUUUUUUUUAUUCGUACCGUCUGUAUAAUGUGGGGCACAUUGUCUGAGCUAUAUUUCUGCCUGCAGGCGUGUCCUAACUCGUGUCUAUAUAUGGAGGUCUGACUUUCUCGAACGAGUUUUAAGAAGGGGUUUGAGUAGUUUUUGGCUUAUGAUUUUGUUUCUUAUUUCUUAGUGUUUAUGAGGUAUGGAACCGUUAUUUGAGCACUCUUUUAUGCAGAUGCAUCCCAACGCUUGUCAGUUGCUGAAGUCACACUGUUGAAAGAAAAAAAAGGGGUUUUCUGAGUUAUCUGAUUUUAUAUUAUUGGAGCCUGUAUGACAUCCUGAGACAUUUUUUGCGCAAUGUUAUAUGCAGACCAUUACACUUGUCUUCUUGUGGGGUCUGAUUCUUUGAAGUAGAACGAGUUGCUUUUAAGAAAGGGUUUGGGUGGUUCUCUGCUUAUGAUUUAACUUCUUACAUGAGCCGUUAUUUGAGUAAUGCUUUCUUUUAGAGUUUGAUGCAUCUUGUGUAUUGGUGAAGAGUUUGUAAGAUCUGGUACCAUUGUUCGAGCAAUAUUCUAUGCAGAUGCAAUUUAACUCGCAUGUGUAUGAAGUCUUACUUUGUUUAAGGAGAGCAGGGGGUCCAUCUGAUCUCGUGUCUAUAUAUGGAGGUCUCACUUUCUCGAACGAGUUUUAAGAAGGGGUUUGAGUAGUUUUUGGCUUAUGAUUUUGUUUCUUAUUUCUUGGUGUUUAUGAGGUAUGGAACCAUUAUUUGAGCACUCUUUUAUGCAGAUGCAUCCUAAUGCUUGUCGGUUGCUGGAGUCUCACACUGUUGAAAGAAAAAAAGGGUUUUCUGAGUUAUUAUCUGAUUUUAUAUUCUUGGUGCCCGUAUGACAUCCUAAGACAGGUUUUGCGCAAUGUCUUUAUAUGCAGACCAUUACAAUUGUCUUCUUGUGGGGUCUGAUUCCUUGAAGUAGAACGAGCAGCCUUUAAGAAAGGGUUUGAGUGGUUCUCUGCUUAUGAUUUAACUUCUUACACGAGCCAUUAUUUGAGUAAUGUUAUCUUUUAGAGUUUGAUGCAUCUUGUGUAUUGGUGAAGAUUUUAUAAGAUCUGGUACAUUGUUCGAGCAAUAUUCUAUGCAAAUGCAAUUUAACUCGCCUGUGUAUGGAGUUUUACUUUGUUUAAGGAGAGCAGGGAGGCUACCAACAGUGAAUUUCUUCGCCCAGUUAUUUGAUUUCCUGGUCUUAAGAAACCCCCGCCCUAUAUGCAGACACAUACUAACUCUUGUCUUGUACAUGCAGUCCAACAUUGUUGACAGAGAAGAGCUUCUUCCAAGGGGGGGUUUCUUAUCUUAUUAUCUAUUUUCUAUUUCUGGAGAUUGUAUGAGAUCUUGGGCCAUGAUUUGCACCAUUACUUUCCAUUCUAUGGGGUCCAACUUUGUUGAAGGAAAUCGCUUUUAAGAGGGAGUUGAGUAGUGUGGCCUUAUGAUUUAAUUUCUUCUUGGGUUUAUGAGAUUCGACACUUUCAUUGGGCGUUCUUUUGUGCAGAUGCAUCGUAGUUCUGCUCUGUUUCUGGAUCUUUUUUCCUCACAUGUUGGGCUUUGUUGAUUUUUGUGUUGUGCUUUAAUGUCUCAGUUUUAAAGGAGUUAUGAGAUGCAUCCUUGUUCUUGUGUGCGAAAGAGAGUAACUUAAUUCAUGACUGGACUCCUUUCUUAAGGAGGUUACGCUGCGUCUGAUCUUUGUUGUGGCUCUCUUUUUCGAGGAGGGUUUCAGGAGUUCAAUUUCAAGUUAAUGUUAAUGGCGAAACCUCAGGAGCAGGUGUCAUGCCGAGUUUUGUUUUCCGUUAUGUAUUUUAUUCAGUAUCCUGAACCUUUGAACCUUUGAACCUUUGGGCUAUUAUUCAGUCAUUGUCUCAUGCAGAUGCUCGUUGUUCCAAGUCUUAUUAGAGUUGAGUUGAUGAGGAUGAUCUUUUGAGUGACAAUCAGAACUUGUGGCACGGUGCCUGGUUUUUCAUAUUUGCCUUCUUGUUUUCUUGAUACUUACAUUUCUUUUCAAAUGGUUAUAUGUUAUGGUUUUGUCAGUGUUUUUUGCGGUAGUUCAUGGAUUUUCCUGUGCGGAAGUUUUGUAGCUCAGAGUCUUGGAUCUGCAUUGAUUCCUUGAGAAACACACUCCACAUUUGGUUUCUUAUUCAUUUGUCUUCUUUCAUGGGGUUUAUCCUUCCUGGCUUGAUAGUUCAACAUAUUCUUAUGGUGAUGGGUUCAUUCUUUUCUUUCAACUUAAUUAUAUUCUCUCAAACUUUACUUUUAUUUCUGUUUUUUAAAAGAUAACUUAUUACAGAUUUUGAAUUUCGUGUAGGGGCCUCAAGAUCCUUAAUCUUUUAUGACUCUGCGCCUCUCCCAUUCAUUUCUAUAUUGUGCUGGUCUUUAAUUAAUUCACACAUUUUAAGGUUUGGCAGAUGCUCGUCUAUAUUGGUAUUGCUGUUUUUGUCUGUUUAAAUGUCUGUUUUGUCUGGUUGAAGGUGGAUUCAAUGCAGUAUGUGCAGCUUUGUGCAAUACUUUGUCCAUUCAGGGUUGGAUAUUCUUUGGUGCUUCAUUUUUUUUUUUUUUCCUUCUAUUCUUUGCCCUUUUCAGAAGGGUACUUGUUAAGAUAUUUGGUCGUUCAUUUGAUAUUUUAUUGAUGAGUGGAUAUAAUCUGGCACCACCAUUUGAUCUGAUGCAAUGUGUUUGCAGUUGCAUCCAAACUUGUCUUUUACUGGAGUUGCACUUUGUCAGAGCCUAGAACAUCUCUUUUAAGAGGUGGUUUUAUGUUUCUUUGCUUGCGAUUUAGUUCUCUGUAGACCAUAAAUGUGGCAUUUUUGAGCAAAUGUAUUAUGCAAAUUCAUUUCGCAUCAAGUAAAUGGAAUGGGUAUUCAAGCAAACCAACGGAAUCAUGGAUUUGGGCAUGUGCGACAGUCAAGAGGAAUGGGAGUUGCCUUUGUAGAGUGUACGUCUUUCCUUUUGGUCUCGUCUUCAUUGGAAUGUGGAUUGCUUUUAGUAGUGUCCUGUGCUUCUUGGCUUACCUUUCUUCUUGGAUAUUUGGUCUGUAUAUUGUCAGCUUGCUCUUGAGGCCUGGGAGAAUGGGGAUGCUCUUAAGAGGUGUCUGGUACUUCCUGGCUUAUGGUUUAUUUUUGUUAGAUUUUAUCAGAUAUGAUUCGAGCAAAGAGUUUUGUGCAGCAACUUUUGUCUCUUAAUGGAGUCCUAGGGUUUAUAGGAGGAGGGCAGGCUGCUGAUUGUUGUGGUCUGCUAAAGGGUUUGGAUUUUGUCUUAGACAUAGUGACCUGUUGGCAUCUUUGGGUGCAAGUGCUGGUUUGCUUUUGCUGGUUCUUUUGUUGUGGCAUAUUACUCUUUUUUUUUUUUUUCUGGCAGGCUAAAGUUGCUUAAGUUCGUGAUGGGUCAGUAUGUUGGAUAUUUGAAACUUCUGGGCAGAGUAGUCCAUUGUAGAAGAAGCAGUCUCAUUCUUUGAGGGCUCCGUCUCAGAUUCAAGUUUAUGCACAGAGCUGAUAGAACUGUUUUUUCAAACUGCUGAUGGAAAUAGAUGUGUUGCUGGGUGUGUCUCUUUUAUUGGUUCAAUAAUGCUGUGGUCAAGCGUCAUUCGACUAUUCCCAGCUGCUUGCCGAUACAGGUCCUUUUUUAAGAACUAAUGUGAGUGUGAGUCUUGCUUUUAUGUAUGCAUAACUUAUUUUGGAUCCUGCGAAAACCUUCAAUAUAACAAUGAACAAAUAUGCUUUGGCUGGAUUUUAAGCUCGUGAAGUGUGGAAGGGAUGAUAGGGAUGAGGUCCUCUGAGAGAUUGCAUUAAAUGUAAUACUUAUCUCUAAUUUAUGACUAAGUAAUGAACUUACAAAGAUAACAUGUUAUGUAUUGAAAGAAUGUAGUCCUGGUUUAUCAUUUUGGAAUGAGCCCUUUACGUAGAUUGCUGAUUAUGCUAGAGAAUUUUUUUCUUGCUUUCGUUAAAGGAGAUUUCUAAACUAUGCGACAUUUCUUUUGAAGUAAUUUUUCUCUUUGGAUAUUUGAAGUAUAUUUGUUAGACAUUUUGUUAUGUUGUUUAUCAAUUGUAUAAUGUCAACUUCUUGGUAGCUUUUUCUCUUUUAGAUUUGUUUGGCUUUUAGUAUGAUGGUUAUGUUAUGUGCAUUGCUUUGGUUUUAUUAGCUGUCUGUUGUGUGUAUUUGUGUUUAGUUAGUUAGGUAAUAUUGUCGACAUUUAAUAAUUGAACGUGGUUCCAAUCAACACAGCCCAUUGAUGAUUUGAGUAGCUACUCCAAAAUCAAAAAUUGUCAUUCAUCAA